GACGAACGCUGGCGGCGUGCUUAACACAUGCAAGUCGAACGGUAAGGCGCUUUCGGGCGUACACGAGUGGCGAACGGGUGAGUAACACGUGAGGAACGUGCCCUUGACUUUGGUAUAGCACUUGGAAACAGGUGGUAAUCCCGAAUAUUCAGUUUCCCGGGCAUCCGGGUUGUUGGAAAGCUUUUUGCGGUCAGGGAUCGUCUCGCGGCCUAUCAGCUUGUUGGUGGGGUAGUGGCCCACCAAGGCCUUGACGGGUAGCCGGCCUGAGAGGGCGACCGGCCACAUUGGGACUGAGAUACGGCCCAGACUCCUACGGGAGGCAGCAGUGGGGGAAUAUUGCACAAAUGGGCGGAAAGCCCUGAUGCAGCAAACGCCCGCGUGCGGG
RNAcentral lists this ribosomal RNA (385 nucleotides) under Propionibacterium acidifaciens. Its description in RNAcentral is "bacterial SSU rRNA". It matches the Rfam family "Bacterial small subunit ribosomal RNA", at positions 28 to 407 of the family's 1533-position model. The record is from RNAcentral. Lineage: Bacteria; Bacillati; Actinomycetota; Actinomycetes; Propionibacteriales; Propionibacteriaceae.